GACGAACGCUGGCGGCGUGCUUAACACAUGCAAGUCGAGCGGUAAGGCCUUUCGGGGUACACGAGCGGCGAACGGGUGAGUAACACGUGGGUGAUCUGCCCUGCACUUCGGGAUAAGCCUGGGAAACUGGGUCUAAUACCGGAUAUGACCUCCUAUCGCAUGGUGGGUGGUGGAAAGAUUUAUCGGUGCAGGAUGGGCCCGUGGCCUAUCAGCUUGUUGGUGGGGUAAUGGCCUACCAAGGCGACGACGGGUAGCCGACCUGAGAGGGUGACCGGCCACACUGGGACUGAGACACGGCCCAGACUCCUACGGGAGGCAGCAGUGGGGAAUAUUGCACAAUGGGCGAAAGCCUGAUGCAGCGACGCCGCGUGAGGGAUGACGGCCUUCGGGUUGUAAACCUCUUUCAGCAGGGACGAAGCGCAAGUGACGGUACCUGCAGAAGAAGCACCGGCUAACUACGUG
Molecule: ribosomal RNA, 462 nt
Filed under: uncultured bacterium
Lineage: Bacteria
Description: partial 16S ribosomal RNA
Rfam family: Bacterial small subunit ribosomal RNA
Source: RNAcentral